ACGGGAGGCAGCAGUGGGGAAUAUUGCACAAUGGGGGAAACCCUGAUGCAGCGACGCCGCGUGAGUGAAGAAGUAUUUCGGUAUGUAAAGCUCUAUCAGCAGGGAAGAUAAUGACGGUACCUGAAUAAGAAGCCCCGGCUAACUACGUGCCAGCAGCCGCGGUAAUACGUAGGGGGCAAGCGUUAUCCGGAUUUACUGGGUGUAAAGGGAGCGUAGACGGCAAGGCAAGUCUGAUGUGAAAACCCGGGGCUCAACCUCGGGACUGCAUUGGAAACUGUCUGGCUAGAGUGCAGGAGAGGUAAGUGGAAUUCCUAGUGUAGCGGUGAAAUGCGUAGAUAUUAGGAGGAACACCAGUGGCGAAGGCGGCUUACUGGACUGUAACUGACGUUGAGGCUCGAAAGCGUGGGUAGCAAACAGGAUUAGAUACCCUGGUA
RNAcentral lists this ribosomal RNA (434 nucleotides) under uncultured Lachnospiraceae bacterium. Its description in RNAcentral is "partial 16S ribosomal RNA". It matches the Rfam family "Bacterial small subunit ribosomal RNA", at positions 341 to 792 of the family's 1533-position model. The record is from RNAcentral. Lineage: Bacteria; Bacillati; Bacillota; Clostridia; Lachnospirales; Lachnospiraceae.